GCCCCCGUAGCUCAGAGGAUAGAGCAGGUGCCUUCUAAGCACUUGGUCGCAGGUUCGAUUCCUGCCGGGGGCA
RNAcentral lists this transfer RNA (73 nucleotides) under Jatrophihabitans sp. GAS493. RNAcentral's name for it is "tRNA_Arg_TCT". It matches the Rfam family "tRNA". Rfam says of the family: Transfer RNA (tRNA) molecules are approximately 80 nucleotides in length. Their secondary structure includes four short double-helical elements and three loops (D, anti-codon, and T loops). Further hydrogen bonds mediate the characteristic L-shaped molecular structure. tRNAs have two regions of fundamental functional importance: the anti-codon, which is responsible for specific mRNA codon recognition, and the 3' end, to which the tRNAs corresponding amino acid is attached (by aminoacyl-tRNA synthetases). tRNAs cope with the degeneracy of the genetic code in two manners: having more than one tRNA (with a specific anti-codon) for a particular amino acid; and 'wobble' base-pairing, i.e. permitting non-standard base-pairing at the 3rd anti-codon position. Lineage: Bacteria; Bacillati; Actinomycetota; Actinomycetes; Jatrophihabitantales; Jatrophihabitantaceae. The record is from RNAcentral.